UACGGAGGGUGCAAGCGUUGUCCGGAUUUAUUGGGUUUAAAGGGUGCGUAGGCGGCAGAUUAAGUCAGCGGUGAAAUUCCACAGCUCAACUGUGGAACUGCCAUUGAUACUGGUUUGCUUGAGUACAGAUGAGGUAGGCGGAAUUGACAGUGUAGCGGUGAAAUGCUUAGAUAUUGUCAAGAACACCUAUUGCGAAGGCAGCUUACUAGCUGUAACUGACGCUGAGGCACGAAAGCGUGGGGAUCAAACAGG
This 252-nucleotide ribosomal RNA is filed under the name uncultured bacterium. RNAcentral describes it as "partial 16S ribosomal RNA". It matches the Rfam family "Bacterial small subunit ribosomal RNA", at positions 524 to 776 of the family's 1533-position model. The record is from RNAcentral.